Molecule: long non-coding RNA, 1308 nt
Filed under: Oryzias javanicus (javanese ricefish)
Lineage: Eukaryota; Metazoa; Chordata; Actinopteri; Beloniformes; Adrianichthyidae
Description: lncRNA (ENSOJAG00000010560.1)
Source: RNAcentral
AUGGGAAGCCUUAAGAACGAGAUGAGAGGUUUGACGGAGGAACAUCAGCUCUGCGAGAAGACAGACGAUGGGGAAAAGCAAGUAAACUCAAAGCCGAACUCCACAGCGGAGGGAGGCUCUUGUCCAGAAGACAAUCAGCCAGAACUUUUUCUGAAUACCAAGUCAGAAGAGGACACGGUGAAAAAUGCAAUUUCCAAAGAAGUGCUUUCAGACGAGGAUAAAUCAAUCACAAAAAACAGUAAAGAUGAGACUGCAGAUCAUGAAGCAACACAAAACAGCAGGACAAUAGCUAACAGUGAUGGAGAAGUGCAGAGCCAAGAUGAACACAAAAGUGACGCAGCCACUGACAGCAUCUCUUUUCCGGUGCCACCGACUCCGGACCCCUUUGACCCCCGCUCACCAGCCCCCUUCGGGCAACACCACAUGCGCACUCAGGUGAGCCUGGAGGUGGUGCAGUGCUGCUCAGCAGCCACCAGCCCCAUGACUCCUCCCCAGGGUGGCAGCUCCUUUUUCUUUCCGAGUACUUUUGGGAAAUCUGACGUUGGUGGGGAGACCAAGGAGGCCGGCCUGCAGGUGGGUCAGCUGGUGGAGUCGUGCUCUGUCGCCACCUCCCCUAUGACCCCAAAAACACCGUUUGGCACGGCUUUCCCGGCGCUGGUUGGAAAGGAAACUGUGCAGAUGAAGGAAAAGGAGAAAAACGGACAGGAAAAGAGCAACAAUAGCCAACAAGAAGUCUCGACUGCAACGAGUCCAAAGGAAGUGGAGUCACAGGAAACAAAUGCUGUCACAAAAGAGUCAAGUGGAUCUCCGGAGAUUCCCAGCAGCUUUCUGACUGCUGGGUCUCUUGAUUCACAAGGGACCGUGAAGAGCAGCAACCAGCAGAAUAAGCAACAGAGGAUGGGAAGCAUGGAUCAAGACAUUACGAUCUUGGUGACACACCAUGGCAAUAAUGGAGAGGACGAUGAAGAAAAGAUUGAGUCAUAUGUAAUUGAAGCUGAGACGAUAAAAGUAGAUGAAUAUGAGGAAGGUGGAGGGAACAGUAAUGACGAAAAAAGCAAAGAUGAAGAGACGCAUCAUGCUCCAGACCCAGAACACAAACAAAAACAGGCCAAAGAAGAAGGAAAACCGUGCAUGAGAGCUGAAAGUUUGGAGGUGACUGACAGAAAAGACGCGUGUGAAGAGACGGCCGACGCUUCCGCGAUCAAAUCUCCAGUUCCUGAAUCUCCGGCUCCCUUCGGCUGCCACAACAUCCGCACGCAGGUGAGCCUGGAGGUGGUGCAGUGUCAGUCUGCAGCGACCAGCCCAUGA